AUCGGUUUCGCUCCUAAGUGCAUGUUUAGUCGACGUGUAUAGUUCGAUUUUUGUAUAUCAUGCUUUAAUUCAUCGAUUAGCAUCUUGAAUGUAAUAUGAAUGUAGAAGCAUGCUGAAAUGAAUAUUUAUAUUAUACAUGUUGGACUUGAAAUUUGACUUAGGAGAAAACCUGCGUUUUGACCCGUCAUAUGCUUAAACUACCAGAUUUAGCUCUAGGAGUCGUGAUUCGAUUGUAUCGUUGCAGCAUCAGUGCGAUGGAUACCUGGAAUAGUUUAGAAGGCAUUUACGCUCGUGCUGGGAUGCCGAGCUUAUUUUUCAGCAGAGUUUAGGCUGUUUCAGGUUGUUGGGUGCCGUUCGGGUUAGCGGUGGACCCAGAUUCUUGUUUUGGUAACAGAUUGUGUCGAGGGCACGUGGGUUUGGUUUGUAGACCUGUUUUGACCCUGUUCACUUGACUUUGGCUAGUUUGAGCCUAAUUGAGCUCGACAGAGAUACGCUGCAUACUCGGUUUGGUAGCGCCCACGAGUGCCACUCCGGAGUCAGGCUUUGUGCUUUCGCGUUGGUGUCGCUCAUGCCAGUUGGACUUGCUCUCCACGGACCAGUUAGUGUGGAUAGAGCCCGAUAGUCGCAACCGGGCAGGAACGGGUGUAUUCACAGUCCCGGGGACGGGUAUGCUUACAGUCCCGAUUGGAUUGGGUCAGAGUGGAUAUUUUCUACAGUUGGUUAGUGUAGAGCAUGAUAGUGUAGUGUUUGAUAGCGGUAGACUUUAUUCCUGCAUUUACUACUAUUCUUGCUCCCUUCUGUAGACUUAGUGGGUGUACGAUGUUGUUUUGGGCGGUACCCACUGAGGACUACUUGUUUUUACAGUAGUUCUCACGCCCUGUUGUUACUUCAUUUUUUUUGCAGAGCUAUCGUCUUCGGCUGCUGCUAUUGCUGAUCAGGAUCGAGGCAAGGGCGUCGCGAGUUAGAGCUCUACCCGACGAGCCGAGCUAGGGGUGCCCUACUGCAGGUAGUAGUUUUGUUGGAGUUCAUGUACUUACCUACCUUUAACUCGCCAGUGCGAGUAGUUUUUAUGUAUCUUGGAUUUUGGGGUAUGUGUAUGGAACUCAGUUGGUUUUCUCCGUUUCUCCAAGCAGCUCUAUACUACUGUUUGUAGUAUUGUUUGAUUUACAGAUACAGCUAUCGCUUCGUAUACAGGGAAAAUUUCUUUGUAUACGGCUGAUUUGUCGGCACGCCCGGGGAAAGUGUAAUCCGGGGUGUGACAGAUUAAGUUGGUAUCAGAGCUUUGUUGUAGGUCGUUGGGACCUAGAAACCCUAAGUUUGGCAAACCUUAGGAAGGCAAGACGCAAGAUGCGUGAUUUAUCGCGAAAGUCAAUGAUUUGUUGUUCUAACUCCUCCUAUAGUGGAGUGAGUGAUUGGAGGAGUUCCUGUUUUGUCCUGAAAAAUUAUGUUUACUGCAGACGACAUAAUUUUAGGGAGAAAUAGGGGCCGCCUUCUAGACUUUCGUUUGAUUGGGUCGAGAGUGUUUUGUUGUAUCUGACCCCUGUUUUGCUCUUUACAGCUAUGUAUCGUUGCCGAGGCCGACCGUCGUUGCGGGAGCGUGCGCAGUUGGCGCAGGAUCGUGCUAGAUCUCCUGAGAUGCCUGAGCAGGCAGAGGCGAGUGCACCCCCAGUUGUAGAGCAGAGGGCCGGACCGGAGGCGAGUGCAUCCCCGGAUUUGAGUGCACAGUUAGCCGCUCUGACAGAGGUGACGAGACGGCAGGGGGAGUUAUUGGAGAGGAUGUGCGAGAGGUUGGUUGCGCCCCAGAGUUCUGUAUCGAGAGUACCAGAGUCGCCAGUUCCACCCCCGACUACUCCAGUGAAAGCACCAGCUGCAGCAAUUCCUCCAUCGGCAUCAGUUCCAGUAGCGCCAGUUGCGCCUGCUAGGGGGUCAGUACCGUUGACUGAGGCCGAACAGGAGCGGUGGUCGGAGAGGUUAGCUCGUUUUCGCCGAUUUGACCCACCGAUCUUCGAUGGCAGAGGCAUUGAGGCCUGGAUUGUUGAGGGAUGGGUAAAUGCGAUAGAGAAGUUAUUCGAGGAUCUGUUCGUUCCAGAGUGGAAGCAGGUACCUUUGGGAGUACACUGUCUGUCAGGUGAUGCACAUGAUUGAUGGCGGAGAGCGAGGCGAGACUAGGGACUGGUGGCGACGCAGUUGAGGUGGGAUGAGUUCUGUGGAAUGCUGUAUGGGAUGUAUUUCCCCAACAGCAUGAAACAAAAGAUCGAGGAGGAUUUGAAGAAGAUCCAGCAGGAUAAGCGGACAGUUCAGGAGUAUGUUCGGGAGUUUACUAGGCUCCUGAACUUUGUUCCGUUCGUGGCCAAAGACGAGGCACAUAGGGUCUACUUGUUUGAGCAGGGAUUGAGACCCGAUCUUUUCAAGUUCGUUAGGGCGUAGAGGUCGAGGACUCUGGAUGCGUCCAUUGAGCAGGCAUUAUGGGAGGAGAGAGGAGAGGUGUCGCUCAGAGAGAGGGCUCAGGGGCCGGGACCGAGCCAGGAUAGGAAGCGCCCAGCUCCAGACGACGGAGGCCAGUCGAGUAGCAGACGUCCGCCAAGGCCUCCACGAUCGCGUUCUCAAGGUCGUGGGUUCUCGGGACGCCAGCGAUCCAGGGACUCUCGUCAGAGGGGACAGCCAGAGAGGACGCCGCAGUGUGUGAUCUGCGGAGGACCACACUGGCCCAGACAGUGCGAGCAGAGGGAGGGCCAGUGCUACGGGUGUGGUCAGCCGGGACACAUGAGGGCAGCUUGUCCUCGAGCAGCAUCUCCAGCACCAUCAUAAGCUUCAGCUCCACCGGCACCUCAGCAGUCAUUCAGAGCAGCACCGAGUUACCGCCAGGAGGAUAGAUCAUCCAUGCCGCGACAGGGUGAGCAGCGACAACAGGCUCCGAGUGGCAGAGUCUAUGCAGCACAGGUGGAGGACUCUACAGCAGCCGACCGAGUGGUGGCAGGUAUCACUUUGAUUUCAGGUAUUCGUACUCGCACUCUUUUUGAUACCGAUGCCACGCAUUCUUUUGUUAGCCGAACAUUUGCAUUAUUGUAUGGUCUAGAGUUAGGGUCCUUGUCACAGGCACGAGAGGUGCAGAUCCCCGACCAUGUCUUGCAGGUUACAGAGUGUUGUUGGUCCUGUUCGGUGCAGUUAGACUCUUGGAUCAUGCCCGCAGACCUGUUAGUGUUAGGGCAGCUGCAGGACUUCGACGUAGUGCUCGGUAUGGAUUGGCUGGCGUGGUGCUAUGCUACUAUCGACUGUGGAGCGAGGAUUGUGACGUUCCGGAAGCCAGACCAGGAGGAGUUCACCUUCAGAGGCUGCAGGAGCACGUUGUUUGCCACCUGGAUAUCUUCGGCGAGGACUCGACAGCUGAUGAGUAGAGGAUGUGUUGCUUUUCUAACGACUGUGGCAGAGGUGCCUACGGCGGUGCCGGAACUCAAGGAUAUCCCUAUAGUCCACGAGUUUCCGGACGUGUUUCCCCCGGAGUUGACGACGAUGCGCCGGAGAGGGAGAUAGAGUUUGUGAUUGAUGUAGUUCCUGAAACUGCACCAAUCUCAAAGGCGCCUUACAGGAUGGCACCGGCAGAGCUGAGAGAGCUAAAGGCGCAACUUCAGGAUCUGAUGGAUAGAGGGUUUGUGAGACCCAGUGUGUCGCCUUGGGGAGCGCCGGUGUUAUUUGUAAAGAAGAAAGAUGGUUCGCUCAGGUUAUGUGUUGAUUACCGGGAGCUGAAUAAAGUGACCAUCAAGAACAAGUAUCCUCUGCCGCGCAUUGAUGAUCUAUUCGAUCAGCUGCAAGGAUCUUGUGUCUUUUCGAAGAUUGAUCUCCAGUCAGGUUACCACCAGCUAGGGUGAGGGCCGAGGAUGUUCCCAAGACGACUUUUCGGACUCGGUACGGGCAUUAUGAGUUUACGGUGAUGCCGUUUGGAUUGACGAAUGCCCCUGCCGCAUUCAUGGAUUUGAUGAACAGAGUGUUCAAGCCGUUCUUGGAUAGGUUUGUGGUAGUCUUCAUCGACGAUAUCCUGAUUUACUCCCGGAGUGAUGCUGAGCAUGAGGAGCACUUGAGGAUUGUGCUACAGCUUCUGCGCGAGAAGAAGUUGUAUGCCAAGUUAAAGAAGUGCGAGUUCUGGCUACGGGAGGUUGCUUUCUUGGGCCACGUGAUUUCAGCUGAGGGCGUAGCAGUGGACCCGAAGAAGAUUGAGGCGAUUCGAGAUUGGCCUAGACCGACGACGGUUACUGAGGUACGGAGCUUCCUGGGACUGGCAGGAUAUUACCGUCGGUUUGUGGAAGGCUUUGCGAAGCUUUCCACACCCCUCACACGCUUGACGCGGAAGGGGAUUCGUUUUGUCUGGAGCGACGACUGUCAGAGGAGCUUUGACGAGUUGAGAUUGAGGUUGAUGUCGGCUCCUAUCCUUGCCCUUCCUGUUAUGGGCGAAGGAUUUGUGAUCUACAGUGAUGCAUCGCACAGUGGACUUGGUUGCGUGCUGAUGCAGCAUGGUAGGGUGAUUGCUUAUGCUUCACGGCAGUUAAAGGAUUAUGAGAAGAAUUACCCUACGCAUGACUUGGAGCUUGCCGCGGUGGUUUUUGCUUUGAAGCUCUGGCGGCAUUACUUGUACGGCGAGCACUGCGAGGUUUUUACCGAUCAUAAAAGUCUCAAGUAUCUAUUCACCUAGAGGAAAUUGAAUGUAAGGCAGCGCCGGUGGUUGGAGUUACUGAAGGACUAUGACAUUAGUAUUCAGUAUCAUCCCGGCAGGGCGAAUGUGGUGGCAGAUGCGUUGAGCAGGAAGUCAGUGCAGAGCCUGAGUUUGAGGAUUACUGAGCAGAGACCCCUACUCGAGGAGCUACAGCGGCUGGGACUCGAGAUAGUACCCCCUGGGUCUACGGCGAGGCUGACGUCUCUAGUUUUACAGCCCACUCUGUUGGAUAGGAUCCGAGAGAAACAGAGUGGAGAUCCGUACUUGUUGAGGAUUAGAGAGCAGCUAGACAGGGGGCAGGCUGAGGGUUUUGCUUUGGACAGUUCGGGAGUACUACGGUACAGGGACCGACUGUGUGUGCCUGUGGAUCCGGAGAUUCGAGCGGAUAUUCUGAGAGAGGCUCAUUGUUCCCCUUAUACGGUUCACCCUGGGGGAACCAAGAUGUAUAAGGAUCUUAAGGCACGGUUCUGGUGGCCUGGAAUGAAGAGGGACAUUGGCAGAUUUGUGGCUCAGUGUUUGACUUGCCAACAGGUGAAGGCCGAGCAUCAGGUGCCUGCUGGCAAGCUUCAGAGUCUGCCAGUUCCCGAGUGGAAGUGGGAGCACAUCACGAUGGACUUCGUCGUUGGAUUGCCUAGAGCGCAGGGUGGCUACGACGCGAUUUGGGUGAUAGUGGACAGACUGACCAAGUCUGCUCACUUCCUACCGGUUCAGACUACCUGGUCCAGGGAGAGACUCGCGCAGCUAUACUUGGAUGAGAUCGUUAGGCUGCACGGCGUGCUAGUGUCGAUUGUAUCAGAUAGAGACCCGAGGUUCGUAUCCCAGUUUUGGAGGAGCCUUCAGACAGCCUUGGGUACACAGCUACAUUUCAGCACAACAUUCCACCCACAGACAGAUGGUCAGUCAGAGCGGACCAUUCAGACUCUAGAGGACAUGCUGAGGGCAUGUGUCCUGGACUUUGGAGGAGGGUGGUAUCGACAUUUGAGACUGGUUGAGUUUGCGUACAACAACAGCUAUCAAGCGAGCAUCCAGAUGGCUCCGUUUGAGGCGUUGUAUGGACGCAGAUGUCGAUCCUCUCUGUUUUGGAGUGAUGUGGGUGAGAGGAGGACGUUUGGGCCUAAGAUUCUGAUCGAGGCUGAGGAAAAGGUAAAAGCGCGACGGCACAUAUUAGCAGCCCAGAGUCGACAGAGGAGCUAUGCUGAUACCCGGAGACGAGACUUGGAGUUCCAGGUGGGAGAUCAUAUUUUUCUUAAAGUCUCGCCGUCCAGAGGGAUUCGCCAAUUUGGAGUACGUGGAAAGCUCAGUCCACGUUUUGUAGGCCCUUUCGAGGUAUUGGAGCGAGUCGGGCCAGUUGCUUACAGGAUUGCUCUACCACCACGGCUAGCCGGCAUUCACGAUAUUUUUCACGUCUUGGCUUUGAGGAAAUAUGUGUUUGACCCCUCCCACGUGAUUGACUUCACUCCGCUUGAUUGACUUCACUCCUCUUGAGAUUAGCGAGAACCUGAGUUACGAGGAGCAACCGGUGCGGAUUCUGGCUCGUGAGUCGAGGGAAUUGUGCAACCGGAUCAUACCCUUUGUAAAAGUGCAGUGGAGUAAUCACGAGAAGCGGGAAGCGACUUGGGAGUCGGAGACGGUAAUGAAGGAGUCAUACCCCUACCUGUUUGAGGCCCUGGAUUGAGGUAUGUUUUCAGUUUCGCGGACGAAACUUUUUGUAGUGGGGGAGGAUGUAGUGUUCCUAAGCUUUGGAUAGGAUUGGCUUCAGUAUUAGUGACUGGUCGACAUCUCUGGAGAGUGUCGGACUGAGUCGGAGUCAAUUCCGCACAAAUUGGAUGCAGAAUUGGACUCGACGCACUCAAUUAAGCAAAACUAGAGUUUUGCCAGUUUCGAGCGCCCAGAACAUUUUUAGGGUCGCCCAGAAACGAGUGUUGAAUUUAACUGAAACUGGAAGCCAAUUCGGAUCCCAUGUUACGGGCGCCCAGAUGUGGAUCCGAAAAUUCGACAUCGUGAAUAUCGCUUGCUUCGACGUGUGGCAGGCGGUAGGUGAGUUCCGCCGGAGCCAUUUACGGGCGCAGCACACCUCGAGCGGAGAGUCCGAGGAGCCCGUUUUGUGCAGGCUGGAUGUUCUGGUCGCCCAGAACAUGGUUCCGGGCGCCCAGAAACACUCGUUUCUGCAGGGACACUGGAUAGCAGCUUGAGUUCCUGAGGCUUUUUGGAUCAUUCUAACUCACUAUAAAUAGAUGGAAUGCGCCCCUUUGCUGCUCUUUUCCUCCCUUCUUCACAGAGAAGUCCCUUUUAGCAUCUCAACACUCGGAUUUGCCUCAAUUUGCAUCAAACUUCCAUUGAUCCAACUUGAUGGAGUGCUGAUUCUGCAGUUCUUCAGCGACGACCUCCAAUGUUUUGGCUCGUGCGCGACGUAGGAAGGUCGGAUUUCGACGAAACUUGGUUUGCUGGAUUCUAGACUUCUAGAGGAAUCCACGAAGUCCUGAACUGCAGAUUUUGGUUGAGGUUAGCUUGGUCAAACUGAAGUUUUUCUAGACUGCUGUUGACUUUGAGCUGAAAAUGGGAUUUUUGAACUUUUCUUGAUGCUAUCUUUGUUGGCAAUAGGAUUUUGGACCUGAGUUUGAUCACCUCUCAGUAUUUGCUGGUUUUGGAACUGUUCUCACCUGAUUUGGAGAUCAUUAGGUGAGUUUUGACAUUGGAAUUGAGAAAUCCUAAGCUUAAAGCUGAAAUUGAUGAAUUUUAUUGGAUUUUGGGUGAAUUGUUAUAUCCAGAUCUUGAGGGGCUUUGUUGCUGGUUUGGAGGUGUUUCCAGCAGUGUUGCUUGUGAUCCGAGACACUCUUGCUGCCAGGAUUUUCACUAGAGGUGGGUGUAUCAUCGGUUUCGCUCCUAAGUGCAUGUUUAGUCGACGUGUAUAGUUCGAUUUUUGUAUAUCAUGCUUUAAUUCAUCGAUUAGCAUCUUGAAUGUAAUAUGAAUGUAGAAGCAUGCUGAAAUGAAUAUUUAUAUUAUACAUGUUGGACUUGAAAUUUGACUUAGGAGAAAACCUGCGUUUUGACCCGUCAUAUGCUUAAACUACCAGAUUUAGCUCUAGGAGCCGUGAUUCGAUUGUAUCGUUGCAGCAUCAGUGCGAUGGAUACCUGGGGUAGUUUAGAAGGCAUUUACGCUCGUGCUGGGAUGCCGAGCUUAUUUUUCAGCAGAGUUUAGGCUGUUUCGGGUCGUUGGGUGCCGUUCGGGUUAGCGGUAGACCCAGAUUCUUGUUUUGGUCACAGAUUGUACCGAGGGCACGUGGGUUUGGUUUGUAGACCUGUUUUGACCCUGUUCACUUGACUUUGGCUAGUUGGAGCCUGAUUGAGCUCGACAGAGAUACGCUGCAUACUCGGUUGGGUAGUGCCCACGAGUGCCACUCCGGAGUCAGGCUUUGUGCUUUCGCGUUGGUGUCGCUCAUGCCAGUUGGACUUGCUCUCCACGGACCAGUUAGUGUGGAUAGAGCUCAAUAGUCGCAACGGGGCAGGGACGGGUGUAUUCACAGUCCCGGGGACGGGUAUGCUUACAGUCCCGAUUGGAUUGGGUCAGAUUGGACAUUUUCUACAGUUGGUUAGUGUAGAGCAUGA
Molecule: long non-coding RNA, 8311 nt
Filed under: Ananas comosus (pineapple)
Lineage: Eukaryota; Viridiplantae; Streptophyta; Magnoliopsida; Poales; Bromeliaceae
Description: long non-coding RNA (ACOM_LNC005140)
Source: RNAcentral